CCCACUUUUCUCACUCCCACAUUCAACACCUGCAGGUGCUGCAUGAGAUAAAUAAAUGCCUACUAUUUUAAGAGGCGAAGUUUUGGCAUAAUGUGCUUCGAAACUGUAACUCGUACAGCCUUUGUCAGCUAUUCUCACUCAGUGUGGAAUGUGCCUCCCAGUGGUUUCGCGUUCAUUGCUGAUUUAGAGUUCGGACUGGCCACUGGCUGUUGGGCUGUGUGGAAUCAUGCGAGGAUCGGUGCAAGAGCAUGGGGAGUCGUGGCGCUGCGCAGCUGCACGGAGGGGAGGAAUGUUUUUUGUUCCCGAAAGAUGGCCUGUUGAGAGAUUGCAAGGAUGAAACAUUUGGGACCACACUGAGGCAGAUACCAGUUCAGAUCUAAUAAAUGAAUCACUGUGGGAUGUGAAGAGGUCCCGGUCCAUGAUCAGAAGGUCUCGUACAUCACUUGACUUUGCCACUAGCUCUUCCCCCCAUGUUAAGCAGACUCCCGACUCAUGUCCCUGACUGUUCUGCUGAGCGUGGGCCUUCUUGGGGUGAGGUCCGCAGCACCCCAGCCAUGGUCUGUCUUGCUUGCCAAUGCAAGGGAGCUCUUUAAUUAUCAUCAAACACCACCGUUUAUUCAUCCCUCUAACAUUCAUUGUCUGUUCUGUGCCAGGAACCAUGCUGAGUGGUUGGUGGAAAUGAGGCAGCGGAGUGGGGAAGAAAGACAAAUAAACAAGUGAAAUUUA
Molecule: long non-coding RNA, 726 nt
Organism: Manis javanica (Malayan pangolin)
Lineage: Eukaryota; Metazoa; Chordata; Mammalia; Pholidota; Manidae
Source: RefSeq, a predicted model, not a curated record